GACGAACGCUGGCGGCGUGCCUAAUACAUGCAAGUAGAACGCACAGUUUAUACCGUAGCUUGCUACACCAUAGACUGUGAGUUGCGAACGGGUGAGUAACGCGUAGGUAACCUGCCUGGUAGCGGGGGAUAACUAUUGGAAACGAUAGCUAAUACCGCAUAAUAUUAAUUAUUGCAUGAUAAUUAAUUGAAAGGUGCAAUUGCACCACUACCAGAUGGACCUGCGUUGUAUUAGCUAGUAGGUGAGGUAACGGCUCACCUAGGCGACGAUACAUAGCCGACCUGCGAGGGUGCUCGGCCACGCUGGGACUGGGACACGGCCCAGACUCCUACGGGAGGCAGCAGUAGGGAAUCUUCGGCAAUGGACGAAAGUCUGACCGAGCAACGCCGCGUGAGUGAAGAAGGUUUUCGGAUCGUAAAGCUCUGUUGUAAGAGAAGAACGGGUGUGAGAGUGGAAAGUUCACACUGUGACGGUAUCUUACCAGAAAGGGACGGCUAACUACGUG
This 505-nucleotide ribosomal RNA is filed under the name uncultured bacterium. Its description in RNAcentral is "partial 16S ribosomal RNA". It matches the Rfam family "Bacterial small subunit ribosomal RNA", at positions 28 to 507 of the family's 1533-position model. The record is from RNAcentral.